GACGAACGCUGGCGGCAUGCCUAACACAUGCAAGUCGAACGGGAAGGCUUCCUUCUGGAAGUACACGAGUGGCGAACGGGUGAGUAACACGUGGGUAACCUACCCUUGGCUGGGGGAGAACCGCGGGCAACUUCGGCUAAUACAGCAUAACGUGCAUUGCCUCAAGGUGGUGUAACAAAGCUCCGGCGGUGAAGGAUGGGCCGGCGGCGGAUUAGCUUGUUUGUGAGGUAACGGCUUACCAAGGCGACGAUCUGUAGCUGGUCUGAGAGGACAAUCAGCAACACUGGACCGGAGACACGGGUCAGACUCCUACCGGGAGCAGCAGUAGGGUAUCUUGCGCAAGGGGCGAAAGCCUAAAGCGGCAAUGCCGCGUGAGGGAAGACGGCCUUAGAGUUGUAAACCUCUUUCAGCAGGAACGAACACAGACGGUACCUGCAGAAGAAGCCCCGGCUAACUACGUGCCAGCCGCCGCAGUAA
This 477-nucleotide ribosomal RNA is filed under the name uncultured bacterium. Its description in RNAcentral is "partial 16S ribosomal RNA". It matches the Rfam family "Bacterial small subunit ribosomal RNA", at positions 28 to 523 of the family's 1533-position model. The record is from RNAcentral.